ACGGCUCACCAAGGCGACGAUCCCUAGCUGGUCUGAGAGGAUGACCAGCCACACUGGAACUGAGACACGGUCCAGACUCCUACGGGAGGCAGCAGUGGGGAAUAUUGCACAAUGGGCGCAAGCCUGAUGCAGCCAUGCCGCGUGUAUGAAGAAGGCCUUCGGGUUGUAAAGUACUUUCAGCGGGGAGGAAGGUGUUGUGGUUAAUAACCGCAGCAAUUGACGUUACCCGCAGAAGAAGCACCGGCUAACUCC
Molecule: ribosomal RNA, 252 nt
Filed under: uncultured bacterium
Lineage: Bacteria
Description: partial 16S ribosomal RNA
Rfam family: Bacterial small subunit ribosomal RNA
Source: RNAcentral